UUUUGCUCUAACAGUUGUGGAAGACCCUUUGAUCACAGCUUGUCAGUGAAGCACAAAUGCUAGCCUUGGAACAGAAGUGUGGCAGCACUGGGGUGCCAGGAUGCUGGAGCCAGGCCUGCCAGAGAUCUUUUACCUGUCCAUAGCCAGAUGUUCUGGACAGCAGAAAGCCACAUUGGGCUAGAGACUGAGGAAGAGAGAACAGGAUCAGAAAAAAAUGCCAGGAGAACAGGGAGAUAACAGAGCUCAACUGUGACUGUCAUCCAAGAGAAGAAAGAGGAAGGUGCAGCCCAGACCAACAGCAAAACAGUACUCAAUAUGCAAAUCCAUACAUUUCCUAAAAAGCCACUUCAAUUAUCGAGUCUCCUUCCUUCUCCAUCUGGUACAACUGGAAGAGUUUUAAGGCAGCGAGGUAAUAGGAACAGCACACUCUGGCAGUGAAAGUAUUCAUAUAGCAAAUUAAAAGGGGUAUUGACUCUCACAAUGUCUCUGAAAGCCUCCUCUGCACUUUUCUGUGUGUAAAGCAUUGUUGAUGUGCUGUGUUCAAAGUCAAAUAUUGCAGAUGAAACCAGAAAGUUACCUUUGGGAACUUGCUCUCCUCAUCAAUGAGGGAGAUAAUAUUCAUGGGCUUGAGUGCAAUGACUUCCAGAGCCUGGCGAUUGUCAGUGAAGUCAAUGUUAUUCCAGGUAAUGUGCUCUGCAAGGUAUUCCUCUUGCUCCAGCUUGAAGACAUGGUGCACAAAGAACUGCUGAAGGUGUUCAUUUGCAAUGUUAAUGCAGAGCUGCUCAAAGCUGUAAGGGGACAAGAUGGGAAUCCAUGGUCAUUCCUGGACCUUGGCCAGUGCUGCACUGCUCUAUGGCAUUUGU
This is a long non-coding RNA of Lagopus leucura (white-tailed ptarmigan), 863 nucleotides long. RefSeq lists it as uncharacterized. The transcript has 3 exons. The record is from RefSeq and is a predicted model, not a curated record. NCBI's taxonomy places the organism in Eukaryota, Metazoa, Chordata, Aves, Galliformes, Phasianidae.